Long non-coding RNA from Ziziphus jujuba (common jujube), 626 nucleotides. RefSeq lists it as uncharacterized. The transcript is spliced from 2 exons. The record is from RefSeq and is a predicted model, not a curated record. Lineage: Eukaryota; Viridiplantae; Streptophyta; Magnoliopsida; Rosales; Rhamnaceae.
AGGUUUGAUAUCUGUACAGAGAGUCCGGUUAGAUUUGUUGCAACUCUGUGGAUGAUUCUUUUUAAUCUCACAUCGGUUGGAAAGGAGAACGAAAUAUACCUUGAAAAGAGUGUGGAUACCUUUCCCUUGAGACAUGUUUUAACAAAACCGUGCAGGCUGGGCUCAAAGCGGAUAAUAUAUCUUGCGAGUGGACUGGGUUGUUACAGUUGGUAUCAGAGCCAGAUUCGGAUAGGUGUGCUAGCAAGGAUGCUGGGCCCCAAGGGGGGUGGAUUGUGAGAUCCCACAUCAGUCGAAAAAGGGAAUGAAGCAUACCUUAAAAGAGGAUGUGGAUACCUUUCCCUUGAGACGCAUUUUGACAAAACCUUACGGGCUGGACUUAAAGCGGACAAUAUCUCAUGCGGGUAGACUGGGCUAUUAUAUUUUCUAUCUUAUCUUGAAAUGGAAAAGUAAAAAAAUUCGUUGUACUUAAAUAGAGGAUUCUUGAAUUCCAAUGAAAUUGUUUUCUAAGUGAACUAGUAAAUGUAGUUAAUUUUUAAUUUAGUCUAAGAUCACUGCACUUAAUUAUGUAAUUCUCUCAUGUCCUACAAAUACUUUUUCCUUUUUCCUAUGUUGCUUACUUUUCUCAC